Molecule: transfer RNA, 74 nt
Filed under: Phycisphaerae bacterium
Lineage: Bacteria; Pseudomonadati; Planctomycetota; Phycisphaerae
Description: tRNA-Arg
Rfam family: tRNA
About the family: Transfer RNA (tRNA) molecules are approximately 80 nucleotides in length. Their secondary structure includes four short double-helical elements and three loops (D, anti-codon, and T loops). Further hydrogen bonds mediate the characteristic L-shaped molecular structure. tRNAs have two regions of fundamental functional importance: the anti-codon, which is responsible for specific mRNA codon recognition, and the 3' end, to which the tRNAs corresponding amino acid is attached (by aminoacyl-tRNA synthetases). tRNAs cope with the degeneracy of the genetic code in two manners: having more than one tRNA (with a specific anti-codon) for a particular amino acid; and 'wobble' base-pairing, i.e. permitting non-standard base-pairing at the 3rd anti-codon position.
Source: RNAcentral
GUCCGCGUAGCUCAACUGGAUAGAGUGUCGGCCUCCGAAGCCGAAGGUUGGAGGUUCGAACCCUCCCGCGGAUG